RNAcentral lists this ribosomal RNA (18 nucleotides) under Ficus hispida. RNAcentral describes it as "partial 28S ribosomal RNA". The record is from RNAcentral. Lineage: Eukaryota; Viridiplantae; Streptophyta; Magnoliopsida; Rosales; Moraceae.
AACUCGACCCCAGGUCAG